Molecule: transfer RNA, 69 nt
Filed under: Ariadne ariadne
Lineage: Eukaryota; Metazoa; Arthropoda; Insecta; Lepidoptera; Nymphalidae
Description: tRNA-Gln
Source: RNAcentral
UAUUUUUUAAGGUAAAAGGCAUAGUAAUUUUUGAAAUUCCAAGAUAUAGUUUAAUUCUAUAAAAUAUAA